AACGAACGUUGGCGGCGUGGAUUAGGCAUGCAAGUCGAACGAAUCCCAUCUGGGUAACUGGGUGGGGGAAGUGGCGAAAGGGGCGAGUAAGGCAUGGGUAACCUGCCCCGGGGACUGGGGAUAGCCCUCCUAACGGAGGGGUAAUACCCAGCGACCUGGCGAGGGGGCGAUCCUCUUGCCAGCAAAGGAAUUUCGCCCCGGGAGGGGCCCAUGUGGUAUUAGCUUGUUGGUGAGGUAACGGCUCACCAAGGCCAAGAUGCCUAGCAGGUGUGAGAGCACGACCUGCGCCACUGGCACUGUGACACUGGCCAGACUCCUACGGGAGGCUGCAGUCGAGAUCUUCGGCAAUGGGCNCAAGCCUGACCGAGCGACGCCGCGUGUGCGAUGAAGG
Molecule: ribosomal RNA, 391 nt
Filed under: uncultured bacterium
Lineage: Bacteria
Description: bacterial SSU rRNA
Rfam family: Bacterial small subunit ribosomal RNA
Source: RNAcentral